GAAGGCGGCGACGCCCCCCCGACUUGAGGCUGGUGCAAACCAGCCUGCCGCCUUCGCACCCCCCUUUGUUGAUGCGAACUCAGGCGGACCGGCUAUCCGGCCCGCCC
Molecule: non-coding RNA, 107 nt
Organism: Caulobacter segnis ATCC 21756
Lineage: Bacteria; Pseudomonadati; Pseudomonadota; Alphaproteobacteria; Caulobacterales; Caulobacteraceae
Source: Rfam